RNAcentral lists this ribosomal RNA (780 nucleotides) under uncultured bacterium. Its description in RNAcentral is "bacterial SSU rRNA". It matches the Rfam family "Bacterial small subunit ribosomal RNA", at positions 8 to 796 of the family's 1533-position model. The record is from RNAcentral.
AGAGUUUGAUCCUGGCUCAGGACGAACGCUGGCGGCGUGCCUAACACAUGCAAGUCGAACGAGGUCCAUGCAGUGGCAACACUGCGGAAGACCUAGUGGCGAACGGGUGAGUAACACGUGAGGAACUUGCCCCGGAGACCGGGAUAACCCUCCGAAAGGAGAGCUAAUACCGGAUGUGCUCACUGAGUCGCAUGGCUCGGUGAGGAAAUGGAUUCCGCUCCGGGAGAGUCUCGCGGCCUAUCAGCUUGUUGGCGGGGUAACGGCCCACCAAGGCAUCGACGGGUAGCUGGUCUGAGAGGACGAUCAGCCACACUGGGACUGAGACACGGCCCAGACUCCUACGGGAGGCAGCAGUGGGGAAUCUUGCGCAAUGGGCGAAAGCCUGACGCAGCAACGCCGCGUGCGGGAUGACGGCCCUCGGGUUGUAAACCGCUUUCAGUGGGGACGAAACAAGACGGUACCCACAGAAGAAGCCCCGGCCAACUACGUGCCAGCAGCCGCGGUAACACGUAGGGGGCGAGCGUUGUCCGGAUUUAUUGGGCGUAAAGAGCUCGUAGGCGGUUCGAUAAGUCGGGUGUGAAACCUCCAGGCUCAACCUGGAGACGCCACCCGAUACUGUCGUGACUAGAGUCCAGUAGGGGAGCGUGGAAUUCCUGGUGUAGCGGUGAAAUGCGCAGAUAUCAGGAGGAACACCAGUGGCGAAGGCGGCGCUCUGGGCUGGAACUGACGCUGAGGAGCGAAAGCGUGGGGAGCGAACAGGAUUAGAUACCCUGGUAGUCC